AUUUAAAUAGCUUAAAUAAAAGCAUAAUAUUGAAGAUAUUAAAAUGGAUUAAUCCUUUAAAUA
Molecule: transfer RNA, 63 nt
Filed under: Auplopus sp. SJW-2017
Lineage: Eukaryota; Metazoa; Arthropoda; Insecta; Hymenoptera; Pompilidae
Description: tRNA-Phe
Source: RNAcentral